This 404-nucleotide ribosomal RNA is filed under the name Verrucomicrobiota bacterium. Its description in RNAcentral is "Verrucomicrobia bacterium partial 16S ribosomal RNA". It matches the Rfam family "Bacterial small subunit ribosomal RNA", at positions 355 to 776 of the family's 1533-position model. Lineage: Bacteria; Pseudomonadati; Verrucomicrobiota. The record is from RNAcentral.
UGGGGAAUAUUGCACAAUGGGGGAAACCCUGAUGCAGCGACGCCGCGUGAGCGAAGAAGGUUUUCGAAUCGUAAAGCUCUGUCCUAUGAGAAGAUAAUGACGGUAUCAUAGGAGGAAGCCCCGGCUAAAUACGUGCCAGCAGCCGCGGUAAUACGUAUGGGGCGAGCGUUGUCCGGAAUUAUUGGGCGUAAAGGGCUUGUAGGCGGUUGGCCGCGUCUGCCGUGAAAUCCUCUGGCUUAACUGGGGGCGUGCGGUGGGUACGGGUUGACUUGAGUGCGGUAGGGGAGACUGGAAUUCCUGGUGUAGCGGUGGAAUGCGCAGAUAUCAGGAGGAACACCGGUGGCGAAGGCGGGUCUCUGGGCCGUUACUGACGCUGAGGAGCGAAAGCGUGGGGAGCGAACAGG